Molecule: ribosomal RNA, 253 nt
Filed under: uncultured bacterium
Lineage: Bacteria
Description: partial 16S ribosomal RNA
Rfam family: Bacterial small subunit ribosomal RNA
Source: RNAcentral
GAUCAUGGUUCAGGAUGAACGCUAGCGACAGGCUUAACACAUGCAAGUCGAGGGGCAGCACGGUGUAGCGAUACACUGGUGGCGACCGGCGCACGGGUGAGUAACACGUGUGCAACCAACCCCGUACCGGGAGAUAACCCGCGGAAACGUGGACUAACAUCCCAUGAGACUCUAGAUUCGCAUGGCUCUAGAUUUAAAAUUCCGGUGGUACGGGACGGGCACGCGCGACAUUAGGUAGUUGGCGGGGUAAGGG